This 760-nucleotide ribosomal RNA is filed under the name uncultured Chloroflexota bacterium. RNAcentral describes it as "bacterial SSU rRNA". It matches the Rfam family "Bacterial small subunit ribosomal RNA", at positions 8 to 796 of the family's 1533-position model. Lineage: Bacteria; Bacillati; Chloroflexota. The record is from RNAcentral.
AGAGUUUGAUCCUGGCUCAGGAUGAACGUUGGCGGCAUGCUUAACACAUGCAAGUCGAACGCAGGCUUCGGCCUGAGUGGCGAACGGGUGCGUAACACGUAGGUGACCUGGCCUGGAGUGGGGGAUAACCCUCGGAAACGGGGGCUAAUACCGCAUGGUCUGAAGGUGUCUUGAAAGCCUUCAGUAAAGCUCGAUGUGCUCUAGGGGGGGCCUGCGGCCUAUCAGGUAGUUGGUGGGGUAAAAGCCUACCAAGCCGAUGACGGGUAGCUGACCUGAGAGGGUGGUCAGCCACAGGGGAACUGAGACACGGUCCCCACUCCUACGGGAGGCAGCAGUGAGGAAUAUUGGGCAAUGGGGGCAACCCUGACCCAGCAAUGCCGCGUGCGGGAGGACGCCCUUCGGGGUGUAAACCGCUUUUGUGAGGGAGGAGCAAGGACCGUACCUCACGAAGAAGUCACGGCUAACUACGUGCCAGCAGCCGCGGUAAUACGUAGGUGGCGAACGUUAUCCGGAGUUACUGGGCGUAAAGGGUCCGCAGGCGGGUCUGCAAGUCCGGCGUGAAAUCUUCUGGCUUAACUAGAAGAGGUCGUUGGAAACUGCAGGUCUAGCAUCCCGCAGAGGUCGGUGGAAUUCCCGGUGUAGUGGUGGAAUGCGUAGAGAUCGGGAGGAACCUCGAAAGCGAAGGCAGCCGGCUGGGCGCGGAUGGACGCUGAGGGACGAAAGCGUGGGGAGCGAACAGGAUUAGAUACCCCCGUAGUCC